UGCCAGCCUUGAUCGACACCAAAGACGCAGUAAUCUCUCUCUGGCCCGAGGGGAGCAGCAACGUUUGUGAAACAGAUUUUUACAAAAUGUUUUGACCCUGCUCUCCCCUCCCCCCGCAUCCCUGCCUGGCACCGUGUCACCUAAUUAAAUCAGCCUUCGCGGGCGUCUCCGCUCCCUGCUAAUUGUGCCCUGGGCCGGCUUCCGGAGCUGCCCAAGGACCGGGGCCCAGAUCUGAAAUGACCUGGGGCCUCGGGAAGGCCAGCCGGAGCGUAUCCGAGUAAUUGUCUCCGCCAGAC
This 296-nucleotide long non-coding RNA is filed under the name Homo sapiens (human). Its description in RNAcentral is "HSALNT0167124". The record is from RNAcentral. Lineage: Eukaryota; Metazoa; Chordata; Mammalia; Primates; Hominidae.